GUGAUUUUCCUCUUCUCGCUCCGGCAGGCUGAUGAUGAUGCUGAUGGCAAUCUUCUUCCUCCGGAUCAUGGCAGGGUUGGAGCUGCAGCUCUCGUCAGACAGCGGGGCAUGGGGCCAUGCUGUAGACUGGUGGCCUGGCUGCGGAGCCACCGGCGCUGGUAGCUGCUGGCACAGCCACUGCUGAAGGAAGAGCCAGGUGAAGGCUGCGGGGUGGCCAGCAAACUGCUCAGAGAUGCUACACAAUGGAGAAGUGGAAUUUGAUUAACUGUAUAUUUACAUUAUAAUACCUCUCUUUUUCUUUUUUCAAUAGCUGUAAUAUAUAAUAUAGAGUGGUUUACAUUGAUUAAUAGCAGUAAUGACCAUGGCUACAGAUGUGACACCAAAAUCAAAUACUCUAUUAAAACUGAUCUGUGUCACACUAUACUAAACCCAAACUUAAUAAGCUGUAUCCUUCUAUCUCUCAUUUGUGUGAUAGAUGCAAAGGCACAGUCGCAACCUAUGGUCAUACACUUGAAGUCAGAAUUAUUAGCCCCCCUGAAUUAUUAAACCCCCUGUUUAUUUUUUUCCCCAAUUUCUGUUUAACGCAGAGAAGAUUUUUUUUUCAACACAUUUCUAAACAUAAUGGUUUUAAUAACCCAUUUCAAAUAACUGGUUUAUUUUAUCUUUGCCAUGAUAACAGUAAUUAAUAUUUGACUAGAUAUUUUUCAAGACACUUCUAUACAGCUUAAUGUGACAUUUAAAGCCUUAACUAGGUUAUUAGGUUAACUAGGCAGGAUAGGGUAAUUAGGCAAGUUAUUGUAUAAUGAUGGUUUGUUCUAUAGACUAUC
This 827-nucleotide long non-coding RNA is filed under the name Danio rerio (zebrafish). RNAcentral's name for it is "si:ch211-42i9.10 (ENSDARG00000096580.2)". The record is from RNAcentral. Lineage: Eukaryota; Metazoa; Chordata; Actinopteri; Cypriniformes; Danionidae.